UUCGCAAUGCCCGAAAGGGUGACGAAGCGACGCCGUGUGUGGGAAGAAGGCCUUCGGGUUGUAAGCCACUGUCGGGAGUUAGGAAAUGUAAGGGUGUUAAUAGUAUCCUUACUUGACUAAGGCUCCGGAGGAAGCCACGGCUAACUCUGUGCCAGCAGCCGCGGUAAUACAGAGGCGGCAAGCGUUGUUCGGAAUUAUUGGGCGUAAAGAGCACGUAGGCGGCCUAGUAAGUCAGUUGUGAAAGCCUUCUGCUUAACGGAAGAACAGCAGCUGAUACUGCAAGGCUAGAGUGCGGAAGGGGAGAGUGGAACUUCUGGUGGAGCGGUGAAAUGCGUAGAUAUCAGAAGGAACACCGGCGGCGAAGGCGACUCUCUGGUCCGUAACUGACGCUGAGUGUGCGAAAGCUAGGGGAGCAAACGGGAUUAGAUACCCCGGUAGUCCUAGCCGUAAACGAUGGGCACUAAGUAGAGGGGUUUU
RNAcentral lists this ribosomal RNA (477 nucleotides) under uncultured Planctomycetales bacterium. RNAcentral's name for it is "bacterial SSU rRNA". It matches the Rfam family "Bacterial small subunit ribosomal RNA", at positions 365 to 832 of the family's 1533-position model. Lineage: Bacteria; Pseudomonadati; Planctomycetota; Planctomycetia; Planctomycetales. The record is from RNAcentral.